UACGAAGGGGGCUAGCGUUGCUCGGAAUCACUGGGCGUAAAGGGUGCGUAGGCGGGUCUUUUAAGUCAGGGGUGAAAUCCUGGAGCUCAACUCCAGAACUGCCUUUGAUACUGAAGAUCUUGAGUUCGGGAGAGGUGAGUGGAACUGCGAGUGUAGAGGUGAAAUUCGUAGAUAUUCGCAAGAACACCAGUGGCGAAGGCGGCUCACUGGCCCGAUACUGACGCUGAGGCACGAAAGCGUGGGGAGCAACAGGG
This 254-nucleotide ribosomal RNA is filed under the name uncultured bacterium. Its description in RNAcentral is "partial 16S ribosomal RNA". It matches the Rfam family "Bacterial small subunit ribosomal RNA", at positions 524 to 776 of the family's 1533-position model. The record is from RNAcentral.